AACGUAGGACGCAAGCGUUAUCCGGAGUUACUGGGCGUAAAGGGCGCGUAGGCGGCCCUCUAAGGCGAACGUGAAAUCCCCGGGCUCAACCCGGGAACUGCGUCCGAUACUGGAGGGCUCGAAUCCGGGAGAGGGAUGUGGAAUUCCAGGUGUAGCGGUGAAAUGCGUAGAUAUCUGGAGGAACACCGGUGGCGAAGGCGGCAUCCUGGACCGGUAUUGACGCUGAGGCGCGAAAGCCAGGGGAGCAAACGGG
This 253-nucleotide ribosomal RNA is filed under the name uncultured bacterium. RNAcentral's name for it is "partial 16S ribosomal RNA". It matches the Rfam family "Bacterial small subunit ribosomal RNA", at positions 524 to 776 of the family's 1533-position model. The record is from RNAcentral.